Molecule: ribosomal RNA, 335 nt
Filed under: uncultured Planctomycetales bacterium
Lineage: Bacteria; Pseudomonadati; Planctomycetota; Planctomycetia; Planctomycetales
Description: bacterial SSU rRNA
Rfam family: Bacterial small subunit ribosomal RNA
Source: RNAcentral
CUAAGGCUCCAGAGGAAGCCACGGCUAACUCUGUGCCAGCAGCCGCGGUAAUACAGAGGCGGCAAGCGUUGUUCGGAAUUACUGGGCGUAAAGAGCACGUAGGCGGCCUUGCAAGUCAGUUGUGAAAGCCUUCCGCUUAACGGAAGAAUGCCAGCUGAUACUACAGGGCUUGAGUACGGGAGGGGAGAGUGGAACUUCUGGUGGAGCGGUGAAAUGCGUAGAUAUCAGAAGGAACGCCGGCGGCGGAAGCGACUCUCUGGCCCGAAACUGACGCUGAGUGUGCGAAAGCUAGGGGAGCAAACGGGAUUAGAUACCCCGGUAGUCCUAGCCGUAAA